CCUACGGGGGGCUGCAGUGGGGAAUAUUGGACAAUGGGGGCAACCCUGAUCCAGCCAUGCCGCGUGUGUGAAGAAGGCCCUCGGGUUGUAAAGCACUUUCAGUGAGGAAGAACGCCUGGUGGUUAAUACCCAUCAGGAAAGACAUCACUCACAGAAGAAGCACCGGCUAACUCCGUGCCAGCAGCCGCGGUAAUACGGAGGGUGCGAGCGUUAAUCGGAAUUACUGGGCGUAAAGCGCGCGUAGGUGGCUUGAUAAGCCGGUUGUGAAAGCCCCGGGCUCAACCUGGGAACGGCAUCCGGAACUGUCAAGCUAGAGUGCAGGAGAGGAAGGUAGAAUUCCCGGUGUAGCGGUGAAAUGCGUAGAGAUCGGGAGGAAUACCAGUGGCGAAGGCGGCCUUCUGGACUGACACUGACACUGAGGUGCGAAAGCGUGGGUAGCAAACAGGAUUAGAUAAGUAGUC
RNAcentral lists this ribosomal RNA (461 nucleotides) under Vreelandella stevensii. RNAcentral's name for it is "partial 16S ribosomal RNA". It matches the Rfam family "Bacterial small subunit ribosomal RNA", at positions 338 to 795 of the family's 1533-position model. Lineage: Bacteria; Pseudomonadati; Pseudomonadota; Gammaproteobacteria; Oceanospirillales; Halomonadaceae. The record is from RNAcentral.